This is a long non-coding RNA of Salmo salar (Atlantic salmon), 2064 nucleotides long. RefSeq lists it as uncharacterized. NCBI's taxonomy places the organism in Eukaryota, Metazoa, Chordata, Actinopteri, Salmoniformes, Salmonidae. The record is from RefSeq and is a predicted model, not a curated record.
GGUUUGGCCGGGGUAGACAAUAAUUGUAAAUAAGAAUUUGUUCCUAACUUACUUGCCUAGUUAAAUUAAAUAACAAUGCGCAAUAAUUGUCGGGAGAAAGUUUAGUGGAUUCUGGAGAGAGACGCGCCUAUAAACUAUCUUUCGCCUCACAUCUUCUUGUCUCAACAUUUUAAAUUAGACUCGAGACACAUUAUCUUCACACAUAUUUCAGAUGCUUUUCACUAACAGCAGCAACUCAAUAAUCAGCUAGGUCUGGUGUGUGUGCUCGCGCACGUUAGGCUACGUUAUAUGAGCUAACUUGUAGCUUGUUAGUCGCGCAUCUCGCCCCGUUACAGUGGGACGUUUUCUGACCAAGAGAAGAGUGCGGGUAGAAAUUUAAAAUAAGAGAAGAGUGCGGGUAGAAAUUGAAAAUCCAUUUUAAAAAAUCCAGUCUCCGAGGGGGCCAAAGAAGAAGAGGGAGAUAAGAAAAAUGAGUCGGAGAGAGAAACUCGUGAGCCACGACGUGAGGGAGCACCAGAGCAGUUCGUCGCUGCUAGCUGCUCCACAGCCAUCGUUAGCUGCACUGUUAGCACAGCCACCCUCUGAUUUAAACCAGUCACCUGUUGAAGAACCAAGGCGCCCUCUUCUUCGGCGUUUUCCAGCCACAAAAGUUGGACAGCAGGAUCGCUACUCCAAUCGUAGAUGGUAUGAGGAUUACAAAUGGCUGAAAUAUUAUAUUUCAAAGGACCAUGCUUUCUGCUUUGCAUGCCGCCACUUUCAACGUCCAGGAAACCAUGGUGGAAAGAAAGCGACAUUUGCCCACGAUGGCUACCAGAACUGGAAGAAGGCGACACGUUCGUUCAAGACACACAAUGCUAGCGUGGAACAUACAUAUGCAAUGACAGCGUGGAAUGUGAGUGGACGAUUCAGAAAGAGUCUGGCUCAACAAUAUGCAAUGCUCUAAGUGAUGAACAUUCGAAAAUAGUCCGAGACAACAGAGAGUAUAUGAGAGCAGUUGUGGAGUCAUUGCGUUUCACUGCAUACCAGGGACUUUCACAGAGAGGAGACAUAGAAAACGACAUGGCUGUCAACCCAGGGAAACUUCCUUGAACUUUUACAGGUCAUAGGAAAAUUCGACAAAACAGUUGCACAGAAAAUAUCAGAUAAUCCUAGAAAUGUUAAGUACACGCAUCAUGAUAUACAGAAUGAAAUACUAGUCAUGGCAAAUAAGAUUAGGGAUCAGAUAAGUGGUGAAAUACAAGAUGCUAAACUAUUUGCAUUGAUGGUAGAUGAGAGUAAGGACCUCAGGAAUUUCUUUCAUUUCACUCCAACUGAUGGAUUAGAUGCCGAGUCGCUUUUCGCUACGAUCAAAGAGACUCUUAGUAAAUGUAACACUGAUCACACUGCAUGACGGCGCCGUCCCUCGGGCAAUCUACAUUCAUUGCCACGCACACCGUCUCAAUCUUGUUUUGGUGGACUGUGUCAGAAACGUGAAGCCAGCGGGGGAUUUUGUUGUCACACAUAUCUGUCACACUGUCAGUAACCUCCGCGUCAUGUGAGCGCAGUUUUUCCUGCAUGCGGCGUGUAAAAACCUACCUGAGAAACAGAAUGGCAAACCCUCGACUCAGCAACCUUGCCUGCCUGUCCAUACACGCAGAAAGAACCAAAGCCCAGGAUGUCCAGAAAAUGAUAGGCUCAUUUGCACUGAACCACAACAACAGACGCAUCGUCUUUCUAAAAAAACAACACUUGAGCGCACCUGUCCGGUGGCGGGAACAUGAUUCAAUCGCGCUGAUCUGGAUGGAACAAGAAGACGCAUGCAUAUUGUCGGCCAGUCGGCCUACAAGUAUUUUUGCAAUAGAAAUAUAAUAACUAAGAUUGUGAUUAUAGCCAGUUCGUUUUACAAGUGUGUGCACAGUUAACAGGCAUAGGCUAAAUGCAUUUCACUUGUCGUUGUGGCUGCACUUUGGAUAUUAUUAAUUUCAUUUCUGACGUUGUGAUAGCCAUUUCAUCCGAAACAUUAUUACCAAUGCACAGUUGUCUGAUUAUGCAUAUGGAAUAAAUGCACUUCUUGUUGUUGUCGCA